Molecule: ribosomal RNA, 497 nt
Filed under: uncultured bacterium
Lineage: Bacteria
Description: partial 16S ribosomal RNA
Rfam family: Bacterial small subunit ribosomal RNA
Source: RNAcentral
GAUGAACGCUGGCGGCGUGCCUAAUACAUGCCAGUCGAGCGAACAGACGAGGAGCUUGCUCCUCUGACGUUAGCGGCGGGCGGGUGAAUAACACGUGUAUAACCUACCUAUAAGACUGGUAUAACUUCGGGAAACCGGAGCUAAUACCGGAUAAUAUAUUGAACCGCAGGGUUCAAUAGUAAGAUACGGUUUUGCGGUCACGUAUAGAUGGAUUCGCGCCGCAUUAGCUAGUUGGUAAGGUAACGGCUUAUCAAGGCAACGAUGCGUAGCCGACGUGAGAGGGUGAUCGGCCACACUGGAACUGAGACACGGUCCAGACGACUACGGGAGGCAGCAGUAGGGAAUCUUCCGCAAUGGGCGAAAGCCUGACGGAGCAACGCCGCGUGAGUGAUGAAGGUCUUCGGAUCGUAAAACUCUGUUAUUAGGGAAGAACAAAUGUGUAAGUAACUAUGCACGUCUUGACGGUACCUAAUCAGAAAGCCACGGCUAACUACGUG